Molecule: ribosomal RNA, 384 nt
Filed under: uncultured bacterium
Lineage: Bacteria
Description: bacterial SSU rRNA
Rfam family: Bacterial small subunit ribosomal RNA
Source: RNAcentral
GACGAACGCUGGCGGCGUGCUUAACACAUGCAAGUCGAGCGGUAAGGCCCUUUCGGGGGUACACGAGCGGCGAACGGGUGAGUAACACGUGGGCGACCUACCCUCAGCUUCGGGAUAAGCCUGGGAAACUGGGUCUAAUACCGGAUAUGACCUUCCCUCGCAUGGGGGUUGGUGGAAAGUUUUUUCGGCUGGGGAUGGGCCCGCGGCCUAUCAGCUUGUUGGUGGGGUGAUGGCCUACCAAGGCGACGACGGGAGCCGGCCUGAGAGGGCGACCGGCCACACUGGGACUGAGAUACGGCCCAGACUCCUACGGGAGGCAGCAGUGGGGAAUAUUGCGCAAUGGGCGGAAGCCUGACGCAGCGACGCCGCGUGGGGAUGACGGCU